UAGGUUUUUCAUGUAUUCGUGUUAGAUAUCAGUUUUUUGGGUUGCAGUUACCACCCUCAACCACGAGAGGGCAGCACUACUGUGCGCGUGCAGGAGAAAGCUUCCGUCUUCCGAUGACGCAGCGUUUUCCUGAUGUUGUCAAAUUCUGGCUCCGUCCAGCAGAGGACACUUGUGUCUCACUGGUUUGACAUUGACCAUGAGCCUCAUGAAGGAGGGAAGGACCAUCACCUGCAGCUCAAUCUGACUCUGAACCAGAGUCAUUAAACCAUUUAGCAACAAUCAAACCAGAGGACCCUCAGCAGGUCUUCACUCUAUCAUCAGCAGGAGCUCCUACAUGUUCCAGGUGAUCUGAGUCUUCAUGUGAUUUUUUUAUUUUUCUAAACCUUUCAUAGUUUAAAAGCUAGAAAAUUAUUUUUCCAUGGUCAAAACUCUUUUUUAUCCUUUUUAGAUUGUGGCAUAAAGGGAAUAGAUCCAACCAACUGAUGAAUCUCUUGAGGUGCAGCUGGAUGAAAACUGCUGCGAUGACACGCCCCGAUGCGCCUUCUGUGCUGCUCUGAGAUCCUUUUGCUGCGUGGAUGAUUUAUGGCGUCGUUCCGGCUCCGGACCUCCGCAUCCAGAUUGGUCUGCAUGGUGUCCAGGACGCGCUGACUGUUUCUCUUCAGCUGGUCGAUCUCCUCGUCCUUCUCCGCGACCUUCUUGUCCACCUCGGACUUCACCUGGUUCAGCUCUAACUGGACCCUCAGGAUCUUGGAUUCCUCGUGCUCCAGAGAGGCCUGGACACACAACGGAUCAUGAUGUGAAAGUUCUCACAGGUUUCUGGUUUUCUUCUUCUCCGUACCUCAGCUUCUUCCAGAGCUGCCUGAGCCUCCAGCUUCUCCUGCUCAGCCUGCUUCUUGGAUUUCUCCAGCUCGUGGAUGGAUUUUCCCAUCUCUCCCAUCUGCUCGGUGAGGUCCAUUAUUUCUUCUGCAGCAAAAGGAAAUGUGAGGAUCCUUCACCGUUAAAUGAAACAGCGGCAUUACUGAGGAUCAGACGGACGUUGGAGGUUUUUAUUCUCUCGUUUGAGGGUCUCCAGCUGCUCCAGGCAUUCUUCAAAGGCGUUCUUCAUCUUGAAGUUCUCCGUGCCCAAAGAGCGCGCCUCCUUCAGAGAGGACUCCAGCUCCGCCUGAGCCUCCUCGUGCUUCUGCUUCCACUCAGCCAAAACCUUCAGGGCAGAGAUGGUGCAGUCAGUGCUUCAGUUUGA
Molecule: long non-coding RNA, 1240 nt
Filed under: Oryzias javanicus (javanese ricefish)
Lineage: Eukaryota; Metazoa; Chordata; Actinopteri; Beloniformes; Adrianichthyidae
Description: lncRNA (ENSOJAG00000001258.1)
Source: RNAcentral